CCUGCGGGGGGCAGCAGUGGGGAAUAUUGGACAAUGGGGGGAACCCUGAUCCAGCCAUGCCGCGUGUGUGAAGAAGGCCCUCGGGUUGUAAGGCACUUUCAGUGAGGAAGAACGCCUGGUGGUUAAUACCCAUCAGGAAAGACAUCACUCACAGAAGAAGCACCGGCUAACUCCGUGCCAGCAGCCGCGGUAAUACGGAGGGUGCGAGCGUUAAUCGGAAUUACUGGGCGUAAAGCGCGCGUAGGUGGCUUGAUAAGCCGGUUGUGAAAGCCCCGGGCUCAACCUGGGAACGGCAUCCGGAACUGUCAAGCUAGAGUGCAGGAGAGGAAGGUAGAAUUCCCGGUGUAGCGGUGAAAUGCGUAGAGAUCGGGAGGAAUACCAGUGGCGAAGGCGGCCUUCUGGACUGACACUGACACUGAGGUGCGAAAGCGUGGGUAGCAAACAGGAUUAGAUACCCCAGUAGUC
RNAcentral lists this ribosomal RNA (465 nucleotides) under Vreelandella stevensii. RNAcentral describes it as "partial 16S ribosomal RNA". It matches the Rfam family "Bacterial small subunit ribosomal RNA", at positions 338 to 795 of the family's 1533-position model. Lineage: Bacteria; Pseudomonadati; Pseudomonadota; Gammaproteobacteria; Oceanospirillales; Halomonadaceae. The record is from RNAcentral.